Molecule: long non-coding RNA, 2374 nt
Organism: Ictalurus punctatus (channel catfish)
Lineage: Eukaryota; Metazoa; Chordata; Actinopteri; Siluriformes; Ictaluridae
Exons: 2
Source: RefSeq, a predicted model, not a curated record
AUAAGAAGUGUUCAUUCAAGGAAAGCAUGAAAAUGUACAGGACAGUGGUAGGAAUUAUAGAUAACUGGCAAUUACUGGUAUAUAUCUCCAGUCUCAGCCAAACACACUCAGAGGAAAAAAAAAAAGUUAAUGUGGAAGAAAAUUUCUCAGAAUGUAGCCAGUUAAAAGGAAAGAAGUAGUCAAAAUCCAGGCUGAUUAAAUGCAAAAGAAAAAGAAAAGAAAAAAAGCUUGAGUGUUCGCCAGCAGUCUUUAAAUAUUCAGAUCAUCUUCUCUCUAUAAUGUGCACAGGUGUUCAAUGCAAGCCUGAGUGAAGAGAACAGCUGGAGCAAGUGUGAGCUCACCACAGAGAACACAGCCAGGCUGACACGGCCAACAUUUUAGUCCAGUCAACACGGUGGGAUUAGAGGACAGCAGAGGUGUUCAAUUUUAUUCUUGGACAGAACACUGAGGAACAGUGUAUCUCAGUAAGGCCAACCGAUCUUAAAUAUAAAGGACAUGUUGCCAGGAAGACAUCAACAAAGUAUCUAGGUUGACAAUCAUGACAGAAAACAAAGUCCUUGCAACACAAUUAGGUCAAAAAAGUCCAGACUAAAGAAAGCAUCAUUUCUUUAACGUGAAACCCAUAUGUUUAAGAUGCACAUCACACCUUGCGCUCUCGAAAUUCACACAGCUGGGAGAAAAGCUUUUCAGACAGCAUUUGAGCAGGAAGUUGAUAAGAGACACUUGUUCCACAGAUCUACAGCUUCAUCAGCGCCUCGGUUAUUAAGAGUGAACAUUUUUGAGUUGCUCAUAUGAACCCUCGGUACUGCAGAGAGUUUGUCUUAUCCUGGCUGCACAUGCAUGUAGAUUAGGAUGCUGACAUUAAUAGCAAGUCCUACUUGUCCUCUGGGGGCCCGUCACACAUGGCUUGAUUAACAACUUACUUUUUUUUUUUUUAUUUCUGUAGUCCUCAGGACCCACUUUUCAUACGCUGUUAUCAGAAUCGGUCAGAACAGCCCACUUUCUCACCAAAAUCAUGAGUGGCAAUGAGAAAUUUUAUAUAUGACGUCAUAAGAAAAGCUAUAACAGCUAUAGCCCCCUGUGUCCCUCCCCACAAUGCCCCUCCCCCUAAUGUCAACAUCAUCAUCUGAUUGGGCAGAAGGUGUUGAUUAAUUUUCUACGACAGCAGCUCUGACAAUAGCUCCAGCUGGACGAAUUAUACAUGGCGUCCCACAAGUCUCCAUACGUAGAGGAAAUUAACACUUUUCAGCAAAACUUUUUCAUACUUAGUUUAUAGCUGUGUCUGUGUGUAUAUAAAAUAUAUAAUCGAGAGAGAGAGAGAGAGAGAAAGAGAGCGCCUUUAAGAAUGCCUCUGACAGAAGAAGAAUGUACUGAAAUCAUUCUCAUGGCUGGCUCGGGAAGCUGUUGCAAGGUUGCGAUGGACUUUAACAUGGCAAACACAUCACACACGACACUGUUGCCAAACAAAUUCAAAAAGACUACAAGUGUUGCAGAGGUCCAUGAACAUCCACUGAUGAAGGCACAACUGAUGUUUAGUUGGAUGGAGUUGACAUUGGAUAAUACCAUGUACGAAUCAGAAUUAGCUACAACUCUUCAGUCUGCUUUAACCCUUAAAGCUGGACUAGGCUACACAGAUACUAGUCCAGGCUCUUGUUAUCUCAAAACUGGACUACUGCAACUCACUACUCUCGGGUCUUCCGGCCAGCUCUAUCAAACUCCUUCAGAUGAUUCAGAAUGCAGCAGCACGCCUCGUCUUCAAACAGCCCAAGAGAACCCAUGUCACACCCCUCUUCAUCUCGCUCCACUGGCUUCCUGUAGCCGCCCGCAUCAAAUUUAAGGCCUUGAUGCUCUCCUACAAGACCUUGUCUGGAACAGCACCCUCCUACCUCAACUCUCUCCUGAAGGCUUACGUUCCCUCACGCAAUCUGCAAUCAAUCAACGACCGACGCUUAAUAGUACCUACUCAGCGUGGCUCAAAGUCCCUUUCAAGAACAUUCAAACUAACUGUUCCUCAGUGGUGGAAUGAACUUCCAACCUCAAUCCGGACCGCAGAAUCUCUCACUAUCUUCAAAAAACAGCUAAAGACCCACCUCUUCCGUGAACACCUAACCAACCCAUCAAAAAAAUAAUAAUAAAAUUUACUCUGGCACUUACACCUCUACUCUGCGCACUUUGCUUCUUCUGGAACUCAAUUAAUGGAUCUUGUAUGGUAGCACUACUUGUAUUCUCCUCUGCUUGAUAUAUCGCUUUGCUUGUAUUUUUUCAUUUAUAAGUCGCUUUGGAUAAAAGUGACUGCUAAAUGAAUAAAUGAAUAAAUGUAAAUGUAAUUUCUAUCCUGUUCACUCAAUGUCUAUGUGUCCAACUGUUAGCAAAA